This 122-nucleotide transfer RNA is filed under the name Candidatus Omnitrophota bacterium. Its description in RNAcentral is "Candidatus Omnitrophica bacterium tRNA-OTHER". It matches the Rfam family "tRNA". From Rfam's summary of the family: Transfer RNA (tRNA) molecules are approximately 80 nucleotides in length. Their secondary structure includes four short double-helical elements and three loops (D, anti-codon, and T loops). The record is from RNAcentral. Lineage: Bacteria; Pseudomonadati; Candidatus Omnitrophota.
GCCUCCGUAGCAUAGUAGCUAUUGCGUCUGACUUGUAUAUGAAAAUCAGAGAUUUUCAAAUCUCAGAAAAUCCUGAUUUUUAAGAAAUCAGAAGGUCGAGGGUGCAGAUCCCUCCGGGGGCU